This is an unclassified non-coding RNA of Gorilla gorilla gorilla (western lowland gorilla), 93 nucleotides long. It matches the Rfam family "Y RNA". From Rfam's summary of the family: Y RNAs are components of the Ro ribonucleoprotein particle (Ro RNP), in association with Ro60 and La proteins. The Y RNAs and Ro60 and La proteins are well conserved, but the function of the Ro RNP is not known. Lineage: Eukaryota; Metazoa; Chordata; Mammalia; Primates; Hominidae. The record is from Ensembl.
GGCUGGUCUGAUGGUAGUGGGUUAUCAAAACAUAGCAUUAGUGACACGAAAGUUGGUCUACAACCCCUCACUGCUAAAUUUGACUGGCUUAAA